Molecule: small RNA, 70 nt
Filed under: Xanthomonas sp. 3075
Lineage: Bacteria; Pseudomonadati; Pseudomonadota; Gammaproteobacteria; Lysobacterales; Lysobacteraceae
Description: sRNA sX9
Rfam family: Xanthomonas sRNA sX9
Source: RNAcentral
AUGUACCACGCGUACACCUUGGUUCCUCGUUACUGCCCGCACCCGCCUGACGACUGCUCGGCUGCCAACC